Molecule: ribosomal RNA, 254 nt
Filed under: uncultured bacterium
Lineage: Bacteria
Description: partial 16S ribosomal RNA
Rfam family: Bacterial small subunit ribosomal RNA
Source: RNAcentral
UACGUAGGGGGCUAGCGUUGUCCGGAUUUAUUGGGCGUAAAGAGCGUGUAGGCGGCCAGAUAGGUCUGCUGUGAAAACUCGAGGCUCAACCUCGAGCUGUCGGCGGAAACCAUUUGGCUAGAGUCCGGAAGAGGAAAGUGGAAUUCCUGGUGUAGCGGUGAAAUGCGCAGAUAUCAGGAAGAACACCCGUGGCGAAGGCGGCUUUCUGGGACGGUACUGACGCUGAGACGCGAAAGCGUGGGGGAGCGAACAGG